CCCUAAAAGUUUCAUCCUGGCUCAAGAUGAACGCUGGCGGCGUGCUUAACACAUGCAAGUCGAACGAAACACCUUAUUUGAUUUUCUUCGGAACUGAAGAUUUGGUGAUUGAGUGGCGGACGGGUGAUGAACGCGUGGGUAACCUGCCCUGUACAGGGGGAUAACAGUCAGAAAUGACUGCUAAUACCGCAUAAGACCACAGCACCGCAUGGCGCAGGGGUAAAAACUCCGGUGGUACAGGAUGGACCCGCGUCUGAUUAGCUGGUUGGUGAAGUAACGGCUCACCAAGGCGACGAUCAGUAGCCGGCUUGAGAGAGUGAACGGCCACAUUGGGACUGAGACACGGCCCAAACUCCUACGGGAGGCAGCAGUGGGGAAUAUUGCACAAUGGGGGAAACCCUGAUGCAGCGACGCCGCGUGAGUGAAGAAGUAUCUCGGUAUGUAAAGCUCUAUCAGCAGGGAAGAAAAUGACGGUACCUGACUAAGAAGCCCCGGCUAACUACGUGCCAGCAGCCGCGGUAAUACGUAGGGGGCAAGCGUUAUCCGGAAUUACUGGGUGUAAAGGGUGCGUAGGUGGUAUGGCAAGUCAGAAGUGAAAACCCAGGGCUUAACUCUGGGACUGCUUUUGAAACUGUCAGACUAGAGUGCAGGAGAGGUAAGCGGAAUUCCUAGUGUAGCGGUGAAAUGCGUAGAUAUUAGGAGGAACAUCAGUGGCGAAGGCGGCUUACUGGACUGAAACUGACACUGAGGCACGAAAGCGUGGGGAGCAAAC
Molecule: ribosomal RNA, 772 nt
Filed under: uncultured bacterium
Lineage: Bacteria
Description: bacterial SSU rRNA
Rfam family: Bacterial small subunit ribosomal RNA
Source: RNAcentral